This is a long non-coding RNA of Syngnathus typhle (broad-nosed pipefish), 464 nucleotides long. RefSeq lists it as uncharacterized. The transcript has 4 exons. The record is from RefSeq and is a predicted model, not a curated record. NCBI's taxonomy places the organism in Eukaryota, Metazoa, Chordata, Actinopteri, Syngnathiformes, Syngnathidae.
AAUGACAUAUGUAUCGUUGGCUGUUUUUGCUUCGUUUCAGUUUACUUUGGGGUUGAAGAAGGAUGACGUGCACCUGCAUCAACAACCUCCACCCGAAGACCACGACGAGUUGGCCACCUGAAAGUCAAUUUGAAGACAAAGCGGCCCAGUCAUUGUUGAACAAGUUAAUCAGAAGUAAUCUUGUCAACACCACAAAUCAAGUUGAAGUUCUUCAGAAGGAUCCCAACUCUCCACUGUACUCUGUAAAAUCCUUUAAGGAGUUGUGACUUAAACCACAGCUCCUUCAGGGUGUCUAUGGCAUGGGUUUUAACCGGCCCUCCAAAAUCCAGGAGACCGCCUUACCCAUGAUGCUCGCUGAACCUCCACAGAAUCUAAUCGCCCAGUCUCAGUCAGGAACAGGAAAAAACGCUGCCUUUGUGCUUGCCAUGCUCAGCCACGUCAAUCCAGACCACAAAUAUCCCCAG